Molecule: small nuclear RNA, 140 nt
Organism: Neomonachus schauinslandi (Hawaiian monk seal)
Lineage: Eukaryota; Metazoa; Chordata; Mammalia; Carnivora; Phocidae
Product: U4 spliceosomal RNA
Exons: 1
Source: RefSeq, a predicted model, not a curated record
AGCUUUGCGCAGUGGCAGUAUCGUAGCCAAUGAGGUUUAUCCGAGGUGCAAUUAUUGCUAAUUUUUGUUUCCAUAUAUAUUUUAGGAUUAUUCCAGUGUGAAAAAUGCUGAUGGCAUUUUGAUAGGGAUUGCAUUGAAUG